Molecule: transfer RNA, 88 nt
Filed under: Firmicutes bacterium CAG:631
Lineage: Bacteria; Bacillati; Bacillota
Rfam family: tRNA
About the family: Transfer RNA (tRNA) molecules are approximately 80 nucleotides in length. Their secondary structure includes four short double-helical elements and three loops (D, anti-codon, and T loops).
Source: Rfam by way of RNAcentral
GGAGAAAUACCCAAGUGGUUGAAGGGGCUGGCUUGGAAAGCUAGUAGGCGGGUAAAACCGUGCGGGGGUUCAAAUCCCCCUUUCUCCG